RNAcentral lists this transfer RNA (72 nucleotides) under Toxocara canis (dog roundworm). It matches the Rfam family "tRNA". Rfam says of the family: Transfer RNA (tRNA) molecules are approximately 80 nucleotides in length. Lineage: Eukaryota; Metazoa; Nematoda; Chromadorea; Rhabditida; Toxocaridae. The record is from Rfam by way of RNAcentral.
CGGGCAGUAGCUCAGUGGUAGAGCUUCCGCUUUAUAUGCGGGAAAAACUGCGUUCUGUUCCCGGCUGCUUCC